RNAcentral lists this ribosomal RNA (1473 nucleotides) under uncultured organism. RNAcentral's name for it is "SSU rRNA". It matches the Rfam family "Bacterial small subunit ribosomal RNA". The record is from RNAcentral.
CAUGGCUCAGGACGAACGCUGGCGGCGUGCCUAAUACAUGCAAGUAGAACGCUGAAGAGAGGAGCUUGCUCUUCUUGGAUGAGUUGCGAACGGGUGAGUAACGCGUAGGUAACCUGCCUUGUAGCGGGGGAUAACUAUUGGAAACGAUAGCUAAUACCGCAUAACAAUGGAUGACACAUGUCAUUUAUUUGAAAGGGGCAAUUGCUCCACUACAAGAUGGACCUGCGUUGUAUUAGCUAGUAGGUGAGGUAAUGGCUCACCUAGGCGACGAUACAUAGCCGACCUGAGAGGGUGAUCGGCCACACUGAGACUGAGACACGGCCCAGACUCCUACGGGAGGCAGCAGUAGGGAAUCUUCGGCAAUGGGGGCAACCCUGACCGAGCAACGCCGCGUGAGUGAAGAAGGUUUUCGGAUCGUAAAGCUCUGUUGUAAGUCAAGAACGGGUGUGAGAGUGGAAAGUUUACACUAUGACGGUAGCUUACCAGAAAGGGACGGCUAACUACGUGCCAGCAGCCGCGGUAAUACGUAGGUCCCGAGCGUUGUCCGGAUUUAUUGGGCGUAAAGCGAGCGCAGGCGGUUUGAUAAGUCUGAAGUUAAAGGCUGUGGCUCAACCAUAGUUCGCUUUGGAAACUGUCAAACUUGAGUGCAGAAGGGGAGAGUGGAAUUCCAUGUGUAGCGGUGAAAUGCGUAGAUAUAUGGAGGAACACCGGUGGCGAAAGCGGCUCUCUGGUCUGUAACUGACGCUGAGGCUCGAAAGCGUGGGGAGCGAACAGGAUUAGAUACCCUGGUAGUCCACGCCGUAAACGAUGAGUGCUAGGUGUUGGAUCCUUUCCGGGAUUCAGUGCCGCAGCUAACGCAUUAAGCACUCCGCCUGGGGAGUACGACCGCAAGGUUGAAACUCAAAGGAAUUGACAGGGGCCCGCACAAGCGGUGGAGCAUGUGGUUUAAUUCGAAGCGACGCGAAGAACCUUACCAGGUCUUGACAUCCCGAUGCUAUUUCUAGAGAUAGAAAGUUACUUCGGUACAUCGGUGACAGGUGGUGCAUGGUUGUCGUCAGCUCGUGUCGUGAGAUGUUGGGUUAAGUCCCGCAACGAGCGCAACCCCUAUUGUUAGUUGCCAUCAUUCAGUUGGGCGCUCUAGCGAGACUGCCGGUAAUAAACCGGAGGAAGGUGGGGAUGACGUCAAAUCAUCAUGCCCCUUAUGACCUGGGCUACACACGUGCUACAAUGGUUGGUACAACGAGUUGCGAGUCGGUGACGGCGAGCUAAUCUCUUAAAGCCAAUCUCAGUUCGGAUUGUAGGCUGCAACUCGCCUACAUGAAGUCGGAAUCGCUAGUAAUCGCGGAUCAGCACGCCGCGGUGAAUACGUUCCCGGGCCUUGUACACACCGCCCGUCACACCACGAGAGUUUGUAACACCCGAAGUCGGUGAGGUAACCUUUUGGAGCCAGCCGCCUAAGGUGGGACAGAUGAU